Long non-coding RNA from Nyctereutes procyonoides (raccoon dog), 3314 nucleotides. RefSeq lists it as uncharacterized. The record is from RefSeq and is a predicted model, not a curated record. Lineage: Eukaryota; Metazoa; Chordata; Mammalia; Carnivora; Canidae. The transcript has 2 exons.
AGGCGCGCGGCGCGGGCGGCGGCCGAAGGGCGCUCUGAACCCGGGAGGGUUUGAACGGCCGCGACUUCUAGGCCGCGGGGUGCGUGGAACCGCCUGGGUCGACAGCCCCGGGAUGUUUGCUUCCCGGCGCCGAGGGUCUGCGUCGUGGCGCACCGCCCUCUCGGAUCCCGCUGUGGGAGUGGGGACCCCGGAAGUCGGGUGAGGCGGCUGCCUCACGGCUCGUCCCGGAGGCUGAAGGCGCGGGCGGGGUGCACCGAGCCGGCCCCAAGGUGCGCGCACAGCCGGACUGGAAACCGCAAGCCCCGGAUCCGGCCUCGGGUUCUGCUGUCGGAUUGGCCUUGUGUCCCUGGACGAGGAGUUUGCAGUUUGUCCAUCCGUGGAGCGGGGCUAGGGCUUGCCGCGUUCGCCCUGCAGGGUUGAGUUAUUUUUGAACAUGAGGCAACAAGUAAGCUGUAGAAGCAUAUCUGUGGUUUUUUGGUUCCAGUCGCAGUGGCGAGAAAUGAAUUCGGGAACCAUUGGAAGAGGUUCGUUGACCUGAGAGAGCUGAAAUGGACUGAUCGCUUUAAAAACUAAGCAGCGAGAUUUAUUUUUUUUUUAAGAUUUUAUUUGUUUAUUCAUUCAUGAGAGACACUGAGAGGCAGAGGGAGAAGCAGGCUCCAUGCAGGGAGCCCGACGUGGGACUGGAUCCUGGGUCUUCAGGUCACGCCCUGGGCUGAAGGCUGCGCUAAUCCGCAGAGCCAUCCAGGCUGCCCUAAGCAGCAAGAUUUUACCGCAGGUUGCAACUACGAUUAACUGACUCGCUUUAAUUUAGUACUUCUAAUUCGCAUAGUUACCCCAAGAUCAGUCUUUUUCUUUUUCUUUUCUUUUUUUUAUGAUUUUAUUUGUUUAUCCGUGAGAAACACACACACACACACAGAGGCAGAGACACAGGCAGAGGGAGAAGCAGGCUCCAUGCAGGGAGACCCACGUGGGACUCUAUCUGGGGUCCCCAGGGUCACACCCUGAGCUGAAGGCAGACGUUUUAACCGUUGAGCCCCCCAGGCGUCCCCCAAACUCAGUCUUUUGUGAAAUUACUUUUUAUGAUUUUGGAAAGUCAUGAGUUGAAAUGAAAAAAAAAAACAUUUAGCAAAUUUUUACAGACCUUAUGCAUGUUAGAUGUUCAAAGAUCACAUAUAAUCAAUGACAUUAAGUUGCUUGCCUCCUAAAAGGAAGAAUAAAGUAACUUUUUUCUUGCCACUCAUUUGUGUGAGAAACUUUCUCCCUCUUACCUGCUGCCAAACUGUAAUUUCUACUUGGAGAAAGCGGGAGGAUAUACUUUGUCAGUGUAAACCAGAAAUAGAAAGUUUUUAAAGACCUAAUGUCCCUGCUUUUGAAACCUGUUUCAAAAGGGUCCUUUUAAACAUUAGACUUUGUUUUGGCUUAAGAUCACAUACUGGCAGGAGCCCUCAUGUGUGAAAAUUUGCAAAUGGUUAAUACAGUUUCAUGCUUUCAAAAUGUUACGUGCCUGUCAUAAAAAUUAAGUGACAGGAAUUUAAUAUGAGAAGAACAUGAUUUAAAUGUGAUUCAGAAAUAGUUAAGAUUACUAAUCAGUGAAACGAAGGGGGGAAAGAUGGAAGUAGGCUCAAGUAAUAGAGAAUGAAGCUGCCUGAUAGGAAGUUUUGAAGAAAUGUUCAGAUUAAUGUGAGGAUCCCCUUAUUGCUCAUUAUAAUCCCUACCUCAGUGACUACGGAUGCAUCUCUCUUCCUUGUGCCUGAUAAGUCUAAAUUCAGCAGCAUCCCCACACACAAUAGUAGGGCCUUAAAACUAUGCAGGCAGCCUGGAGAGUUCUGAAAAACCGUGGGAGGUGAAGGAGCAUUGGUGGCUUCUUGUUCUUCACGGUGAUGCACUCUGUCUAAAGGAGCCGCCAGAGAGACAGUGCGGACACUGGAGAAUGUGAAGGGAAGAGGAGACAGUGUAAUGUGUUACCUAGGGAGAGGAAUAGGGAUUUCAGGGAAUUGUGAGAGUAUAUGGCAUAUUUGUCCAGUUAUUGAAACUUAACCAUCAAGCUUCUCUUGGGUCAAACUGACUAUGAAAUAUAGUAAGGGUAAGUCUCCUAAUUAGGAUGUUAUUAAAAAAAAAAAGACGGAGAUCAAAUGAAGGAUGAUUCCUCAUUCAGCCACCUUUAUGUUUCCUGAAAGCAGGCACCCCUCUCUGAGACAUAAAUAGUUGAGUAAAUGAAACAAAUGCAUGAGUAGAUUCUGGCAUACCUGUUUAAGAUGGCCCUAUUAGCUAAUUGACUGCAGAAAAACCAGGAAAUAAGCUGAGUGGAUAUCCUUUCAUAAACCCUACUGGCUGAGAGGCAACAGACUGAUGUAGUUAAAGCAUGGGCUUUGGCUCUUACGAGAUCUAGAAUUCAGAUCCUACAUCUGGAAAUCAGAUUGCUCUUAUUCUUGAUUUUGCUAUUUAAUCUCUUAAAGCUUUGAUUAAUCAUCUGAUUAUGAAGAAUAUUGUCUGUUUCAUAGAAUCAUUAUAAGGCUAAAGCUGAAGUGCUUACCAUAGUGCCUAAUUCAAAGUACACACUCCAUGAAUAGUGGCAAUUAUUAUUUUUAUUAGCAAUAAUAGUAGUUAUUUUUACAACUGUUACUCUCUCACACUUGUUUUAUCAUGAUCAGGGUAAAGAGAAAGUUGAAAACAUUCUUUGCUAACGAUGGCAUAAUUUUCCUGCACAGACUGGUUCUGCCUGGGUCAUGCCUUGUUUUAGGGAUUGCAGUUUGAGAGGUUGUUCUGAACUCUCCUUGCCCCUGAGUUUUGACUUGCCAAAUUUAUGCUUAUUGUCCUGUUCCCUAGUUAUAUCAAGACAUCGGGCCUCCUACACUGGAUUUCUACCUUCAUUCCAGCUUCCUUUAGAUUCCAGUAGGUGUUCUGAGGCACUGCUUUCAUUAUUUCAAUAUAUCUCUCUCCUCCCCUGUCUCCAUGUUUCCUCACUAGUUAUCAGAUGAAGGUGAGUUCCUUAGCCUGGCUUGCAUGGUUUUGAGUUCUUUCCACUACUGAAUCCCUCUCAAUUUGGCUUGUCCAGUUUGGCCUGGAUGGUUAAAAGUUCUGCCAUCUUCUGGAGCAACUGGAUGGCUCAGUUGGUUGGGUUGUUUGCCUUUGGUUCAGGUCAUGAUCCCGGGGUCCUGAGAUGGUGCCCUGUGCUGGGCUCCUUGCUCAGUGGGGAGCCUGCUCUUGCCUCUCCCUCUGCCUGCCACUCUCCCUACUUGUGCUUGUGCUCCCUCUCAAAUAAAUAAAUAAAAUCUUUAAAUAAAUAAAGUUCUGCCAUCUUUCUACCAACUGUA